Molecule: non-coding RNA, 30 nt
Filed under: Rattus norvegicus (Norway rat)
Lineage: Eukaryota; Metazoa; Chordata; Mammalia; Rodentia; Muridae
Source: RNAcentral
UCUGCUCAGAACAGCUGUGUCCUCACCCCC